This is a long non-coding RNA of Bombus pyrosoma, 720 nucleotides long. RefSeq lists it as uncharacterized. The record is from RefSeq and is a predicted model, not a curated record. The transcript is spliced from 3 exons. Lineage: Eukaryota; Metazoa; Arthropoda; Insecta; Hymenoptera; Apidae.
CCAACGGUAUUUCGUCGUUGUUUCUAUGUAAUAGUUCACAUUUUCAUUUGUGAACGCGGCAUUGAGUUCAAGGUGUGUUUGUUCGUGGUGAUGCGUAGUUUUGGCGGUUAUGUUUGAUGUCGUAGAUCGAAUCAAUUAUUCUUAAUGUUUAUUUUAUUUUACUUUCCUCGAUGUUUUAGUUUAUCGUGAAGACAAUCCAGAUGACUGUGCGAAGGCUUGCUUCCUUGAGGAGACUUCUACCGGAAUCCUGGAUAUUCUUCUGUCACUGCUUUUCUGGUCAGAGCGAUCUUCUCUGCUGUAUGCUCCCAGUACAUGGAGAGACUUCGUGAGAUGUGUCUUGAUGUUAUUUUACUCGUUUGGUUUUGGUGAUUAUGAUUUUAAAUGGUGAAUAUAGAGGUGUCUUCGUCAAAGGUUCCUUAUGCAGACUGUCCUGCGCAAGAAGAUGGGUUCCAAAAUGUGUGAGUGGUCCUAGAAAGCGUAGUCAACGUGUGAAGUAUCGUGGGCAAGAACGAAGAAUCGUGUGACAUUUGUGUUGAUUAUGUUCGACGCUGAUUUAUAUAUAUAUAUAUAUAUAUAUAUAUUAUUUUGUUGGUUAAAUAUUCAGUCAGUUUAGUUGAAUAUUCUGUAAUGUAAUAUUCGCAAGGUAGUUUCAUAUAUUUAUUUUACAAAUGUACAGAUUCCUUGAGUUUAUCUAAAUAUUAAUUAGUUUUAAUAAUAUAA